GACUCAAUCACUUAAGUGUCCAAGUCUCAAUUUCUGUUCAGGUCAUGAUCUCAGGGUUGUGAGAUCUUCCCCCCAU
Mustela erminea (ermine) is the source of this 76-nucleotide long non-coding RNA. RefSeq lists it as uncharacterized. The record is from RefSeq and is a predicted model, not a curated record. NCBI's taxonomy places the organism in Eukaryota, Metazoa, Chordata, Mammalia, Carnivora, Mustelidae. The transcript has 3 exons.